GAUGUGGCUUAGUGGUUUGAGUGUUGGGCUACCACUCUGGAGACCAGGGCUCGAAUCCCAGCUUGGCCA
RNAcentral lists this transfer RNA (69 nucleotides) under Phrynosoma platyrhinos (Desert horned lizard). RNAcentral describes it as "tRNA-OTHER". The record is from RNAcentral. Lineage: Eukaryota; Metazoa; Chordata; Lepidosauria; Squamata; Phrynosomatidae.